GACGAACGCUGGCGGCGUGCUUAACACAUGCAAGUCGAACGGAAAGGCCCUGCUUUUGUGGGGUGCUCGAGUGGCGAACGGGUGAGUAACACGUGAGUAACCUGCCCUUGACUUUGGGAUAACUUCAGGAAACUGGGGCUAAUACCGGAUAGGAGUGCCUGCUGCAUGGUGGGGGUUGGAAUGUGUCGGCGGUUGGGGGUGGACGCGCGUCUUGUCAGCUUGUUGGUGGGGUAGUGGCUUACCAAGGCUUUGACGGGUAGCCGGCCUGAUAGGGUGACCGGCCACAUUGGGACUGAGAUACUGCCCCGCCUCCUACGGGAGGCAGCAGUGCGGAAUAUUGCACUAUGGGCGGAAGCCUGAUGCAGCAGCGCCGCGUGCGGGAUGACGGCCUUCGGGUUGUAACCCGCUUUAGCCUGUGACGAAGCGUGAGUGACGGUAAUGGGUACAGAAGCACCGGCUAACUUCGUG
RNAcentral lists this ribosomal RNA (468 nucleotides) under uncultured bacterium. RNAcentral describes it as "partial 16S ribosomal RNA". It matches the Rfam family "Bacterial small subunit ribosomal RNA", at positions 28 to 507 of the family's 1533-position model. The record is from RNAcentral.